CUGCUCACUCAGCCUUUGUCCAAUAUAUGAGAAGGAGAGUUGGUCCUACUGCAAAUGUGGCUUAGCUUCCAGGAAGACAGGCCUUUCCUGAGACCUUUCUCUAAAGAGUUAUCAGUUUCUAUGCCAAACAACUGCUCUUAUAUUCUGAAUCACAAGUCUGCUCCCCUAAGGACAUAUGAUUCUUCAGAUAAAGUGGGAUGAGUACGUCAGUCUGACUCUGCAUCCCAAGCAUGGCAAGAAUGCCACAAAGCUCAGACUCUGAAGAAAGAGCCUUUCCUUUGGAAGAAAGACCCAAUCUCUCCAUGCAAAGUUACCGAGGCCUGCGCAGCAAUGCACCCAGAGAGAUCUUGCUGCAGGACAGCUGGUCAAGGGAAAUCUGUCCCACACUAAUGAGAAUGCUGGUGCACUGCACAGCUGAGUCACUCUUGCCUAGUGACAAUGCUAUGGACUAAUGCCAACAGUGGCAUUUAAGCACUGUCUCUUCAAGAACUUCCAUUUCUUAGCUUGUGCUCUGGGCCAUUUUUACUUUGUGCUAUUAAGAAAAAGGGAAGAAAGUGCCUGAAAUACUUGAAACUUUUUCUUACUGAGAUGCAAAGGAAAAUGUCUUCUAAGGUAUUCUAAAUACCUACUAAGCAGCGUUUUGCUUUUGUAUCCCACAUAUGUUUGUAUUCUCCAUUUUGACUGUAGGUAUCUUUGGAAUAAAUCCCAUCUGCUAAUCUAUGUUGACAUUUCCUUGUAAAAAAAAAAAAGACCCUUUUUUUCCCCACCAGAUCUUAAGCAGCAUUUUCACUACACACAGCUAGGAAUGAAAAAGGUAAAGCCAUGUUCACAUAACAUUUGGUCUAGUGGGCAUCACACAGGAAUUUCCAAGAUCAAAGUGGAUUCACUGUUUUUCAAUUUUGUAGUUUUGUUUCACUAUAGAUGCUGCAAUGCGAACAGGUAUCAGCGUGAAACUGGAAACUUAAGGAUGGGAGGAAGUAAAGAUGUCUGCAGAGAAGGUCUGAGGAAGUCUGUACUCUUUCAGAUGUUGCAGGAGUGGAAUUCAUCUUACCUAACUUUCAGCACUUACACUGCAGAUGUACCUCUGGUUAUCUCAGUAUCCUUUAUAGUCUAAGGGAGGAAACUGGCAUUUCUGCAGUACAGCUGGCAUACAUCGCCUCUGCUUUAUGCAUCUUCCCCAGGAACUGCAAGCUGUUGUUUUGCUUUGUUUUUUUCCUUCUUACAAAGUGGAUCUCGACAUGUAUUCCAGAACUAGAGGUUGAGAAAGGGAACACCUAAAACUAAACAGAGAAGUCUCAAUUCAGUAAGGCAUAUAUCAGCCCCUCUAUAAUUUGGAAAAAUAUGACCAGGAUAAAGGAAUGUAGGCUUUGGAAGAGAGACCAUGAUACCAACUUACGUGUUCAAUGCAAGGCUGCUAUAGAUGUGGCUGUGCAGUGAUAAUGUUAAUAAAGUGAUAAAUAAAGAGGAAAAUAAAGAUGAUAAUGGUAAUUUCUUUAAGCCUGACGUUCCCAGCUCCUGGAGGAGAGAACAGACACCAACAAGGCACUGUCCAUGUAAUCCAGUAUAAACAUCGUGUUAGGCAGUGCUAGCACCAGGAAAAUAUUCUGCCUGUGAACAACAGGAAAACUAGAAAUAGCUAUGUAACAU
Molecule: long non-coding RNA, 1647 nt
Organism: Gallus gallus (chicken)
Lineage: Eukaryota; Metazoa; Chordata; Aves; Galliformes; Phasianidae
Source: Ensembl